Molecule: unclassified non-coding RNA, 378 nt
Filed under: plant metagenome
Description: partial contains 5.8S ribosomal RNA, internal transcribed spacer 2, and large subunit ribosomal RNA
Rfam family: 5.8S ribosomal RNA (bases 1-105)
Source: RNAcentral
GAAAUGCGAUAAGUAAUGUGAAUUGCAGAAUUCAGUGAAUCAUCGAAUCUUUGAACGCACCUUGUGCUCCUUGGUAUUCCUUGGAGCAUGCCUGUUUGAGUAUCAUGAAAUCUUCAAAGUAAAUCUUUUGUUAACUCAAUUGGUUUCUACUUUGGUAUUGGAGGUCUUUGCAGCUUCACACCUGCUCCUCUUUGUUCAUUAGCUGGAUCUCAGUGUUAUGCUUGGUUCCACUCGGCGUGAUAAGUUAUCUAUCGCUGAGGACACUGUAAAAGGUGGCCAAGGUAAAUGCAGAUGAACCGCUUCUAAUAGUCCACUGACUUGGACAAUACUUUUAUGAUCUGAUCUCAAAUCAGGUAGGACUACCCGCUGAACUUAAGC